CGGUCCCACAGUCACUUCCUCUUCCGUGGGGGACACCAGGCUUCCCCUCGCAUUGGAGAGUGGAGUCCCCGAGAGCUCUCCGGGGCAACAUUCAGACAGAGCAGGCUCCAGGCCACCACGAUGCCCGCACCUGCCUCCCCACCCCGCCUGCCUCGGCCAUCCCUGCUGCUGCCUCUGCUGCUGGGCCUCACAGGUGUGGCAGGUGAGCCGGAGCUGCAGGUGAUCCAGCCUGAGAAGUCAAUGGCUGUCGCAGCAGGACAGACAGCCACUCUGCGCUGCACCCUGACCUCCCUGCUCCCCAGUGGGCCGGUUGAGUGGUUCAGGGGAACAGGGCCAGCCCGGCAGUUAAUCUUCAGUUUCAGAGGAGGCUCCUACCCCCGAGUGACAAAUGUUGCAGACACCACAAAGAGAAACAGCACGGACUUUUCCAUCCGCAUCAGUAACAUCACCCCAGCAGAUGCUGGUACCUACUACUGUGUGAAGUUCCAGAAAGGGACCCCUGACGUGGAGUUUAAGUCUGGACCAGGCACCAGGAUGUUUGUACAUGAAGCUAAGCCCUCUCUUCCAGAGGUUUCUGGCCCCUCCAACAGGAUCAGCCCAGGCCAGACAGUGAAUCUCACCUGCACAUCAACUGGCUUCUUUCCCAAAAGCAUACACCUGAAAUGGCUUGAAAAUGAUGUGGAGCUUCCGGCAUUUCAGACCCUGGUCUUCCUGCCUAGAGAUGCUGGAUCCUACACCAUCGUCAGCACGGUGCUGGUGACCCUUGACUUAUCCUCACUCCACUCCCAGCUCACCUGCCAAGUGGCUCACAAUACAUUGCAGAGCCCCCUCAGUAGGCACGUGAACAUCUCCAAAUUCCUCCAAGUUAUACCCACAGUGACUGUUUCAUCCCACCGAGUCCCAAGCCUCCAGUUGGCCAUCCUCACCUGCUACGUGCAAAGGUUCUACCCUGAAGUCAUACAAAUCACCUGGCUGGAGGUGAACAGACGCUUUAAGGCCUGUGAGCCUCCCACCCCCACCAAGAACCCAGAUGGCACAUUCAGCCAAGACAAUCAUAUCCUGGUUCACACCUCAGAGGACAAAGCGCUGUUCACCUGCGAAGUGUGGCAAGAGGCCCAGCCACUGAUCCAGGCCCACGUGCGGCUGAGUGAGUCCAGAGGCCAGCCAGCGUGUUUGGGUGAGUAGGGGUGGAAUAACCCAGCAGCUCAAGGUUCAGACCUGGACACAGACAGGCCAGGUUCACACGCUGGCUCUGCCAUGUUUGUCAUGUGUGAACUUGAGGAAGUCACUUCACCUUUUGGUACCUCAAUUCCUUCAUCUAUAAAAUGGGACAGCAGUUAGAGCAACCUCUGCAGAGUGUGCUGCCUUAGGGACCAAAGAGCUGUAAGCACCACUUUCAUCACACAGCGGGAUCCUGACCAUGCAGCCACGGCACCGGCUCGUCCAGUGAAUAAGUUCAUACGAAUUAUCGUCCCCCUUUUCCACCCACCCUCUCAAAAGCCAUUCAGAUUCAACAAUUACUGAGUGCCUAUUAGGUAUUCUGUUUGGUGUUCUCCUUUGAUACAGGAACGUUCUAAGGUAUACGUUAUCAUCCCCAUUUUAAAGACUAGGAAACAGCUUAGAGAGGUGAGGGGAUUCCCUCUUAGUCCAAGGGUGUAGUCUUGGUACCUGAGUCAGGGGUGAGGCUGGGCCUGCCUAGGGGUUGAGUGGUGGGCACCAGAAGCCGCGUUCAUCCUAGUAUCUUUCCAGAUGCCAGGGCAUCCAGCUCCCUCUCUGGGACCCUCAUCCUGCUUGGCUGGAAGUUGUUUCCCUUGACUGCACUUUGCAUCAUCUAUGUCCUCAAGAGGAGAUUCCCUUCCAAAUUAGGAAACUGAGGCACAAAGUGCUCAAAUGAUAGUCAUGAUUGGAUAAAGCCAAGAUUUGAGCCCAGAUGGUGCCGCUAAACACACUGACAGAACCUGGAAGAGUCUGGGAUUGCUUUAAUUGGCAAACGAGCCUCUGAGCUGAGCAAUGGGACUGAGCGGCAGGUGCUGCAGCCCGAGGGCCCCAUGCUGGUGGCAGAAGGUAACACACUCCCAUUGUGGUGUUCAGUGGACAGCUCCUGCACUGGUGACAUGAUUAAAUGGGUCAAGGGCUGGUCUGAGCCGGGAGGCCAUUCACAACUUUGAAGGCAUCUCCCACCCCAACGUGACAGCAGUCCGGGCCUCCAGCAGGGAUUUUAGCAUUCUUCUGCAAGGUGCCUCUGGGGAGCGGGCAGGCACCUACUACUGUGUCAAGUUUCAGAGGAAACUCAACAGACAAUACCUGUCUGGACCGGGCACCAAGCUGAGAGUAAAAGAUUUUAUUUAUUUGACAAAGAGAGACACAGCAAGAGAGGGAACACAAGCAGGGGGAGUCCAAGAGGGAGAAGCAGUCUUCCCGCGGAGCAGAGAGCCUGAUGCGGGGCUCCAUCCCAGGACCCUGGGAUCAUGACCUGAGCCGAAGGCAGACGCUUAACGACUGAGCCACCCAGGCGCCCCUAACAAAACUCUUAAAUCACAGUGGCUUAAGCCAGAAGAAAAUCGAUUUCUCUAGUAAUAACAGAGCAUAAGCAGGCCAGGCAACAGGGGAUUCCUUCAUCUUGUUGCUACCGCGUCCACACCCCAGGCCGUUAAGACUAGGGAAGAAGGCAAAAGUGAAGGGGAGUAUAACCCGCCCCUUCAAGGGCACAGCUGGGAACUUGCCCACAUCACCUCUAAUUGGCUGGAAUAUGGUCACAUCGUCACACCCAGCUGUAAGGAAGGCUGGAAAAUGUAGUCUUUAUUCUGGCAGCAGUGUGCCCAGCUGCAAUGUUUCACUAAAAGAACCAGGAGGCGAAUGUCAGUAGAUAACCAGUAACAUCUACCUCGGUGGCAAGGGGAAGCUUCUUCCUUGCUCUGAGUUCAAUUCCCAGCUGAAACAGCACCUUUUUGUACCACCACCUCCACUAGGGAGUAUAAUAGAGAGCAGUAGUUCUCAAGAAGAGGAGGUUUUUUUUCCCCCAGUGUACAUUUGGCAAUGUCUAGAGACACUUUUGGUUGUCACAACUUGGGGGUUGUCACAACUGGCUAUCACCGUCUAGUGAGUAGAGGUCAGGGGGAUGUCACUAAACAUCCUAAAAUGCACAGGGACAGCCCCCACAACAAAGAGUUUUCUGGUCCAAAGCAUCAGUGGUGCUGGGGCUGAGAAGCCCAAUGUAGGGGAAAGUGUGACACGCCUGGCUUGCAAUCCCAAAGCCCCCACUCGCUCCCCGUAUGCCUUUAGUGACUAAUCAGUCGCUUCACCUCUUGGACCCUCAUGGAUAAUAAUGUGGAUGCAGAUCAUAACAUGGACUUCUCUGCGUUGUCUAAGAAUUAACUGGAUUCAUUUAUUGAGGGCUUCCUAUAUGCUGUGUGCUCCAGGUACACUCAGUGCCUGUGAGCUCCCUUUUUGCUUUCCACGUGAACACUUACUAGCACCCAUUCUGUGGGGAAGUGUAUUAGCCUGGCUGUUUUUCAUUAUGACAACAGAAAAACAGCUUGCAAAACCUAAGCCAAAGGGGAUGCUAGUGUAGCCUGAGAAUUGCAUAAAUCAUUGAGUGACCAGACAUCAGAAUAAUAGCCGCCUGCCAGAUGAUCCACGUCUUAAUCUCUGGAACCUGUGACUACGACCUCACAUGGCCAAAAAGGGAAUUUGCAGCUGGAGUUAAAGAUCUUGAGACAGGAGUUUAUCCCAGAUUAUCCAGGUGGGCCCUAAAUGCUUUCAUGAGUGUCCUGAUGAGGGAGAGACGGAGGGAGAUUUGACACGGAGGAGAAGACAGCAAUGUGACCACAGAGGCGGAGAUUGGAGUGAUGUGGUCACAAGUUAAAGGAUGCCGGGAGCACCCAGAAGCUAAAAGAAGCCAGAACAGCUUCUCUCCCAGAGCCUCCAGAGGGAGCAGGGCCCACUGAACACCUUGACUCCUGCCCGGUGAUGCUGCUUUCAGACUUCUGGCCUUCAGAACGAUGAGACAAUAAAUUUCUUUGUUCUGAAGCA
This is a non-coding RNA of Callorhinus ursinus (northern fur seal), 4032 nucleotides long. The record is from RefSeq and is a predicted model, not a curated record. Lineage: Eukaryota; Metazoa; Chordata; Mammalia; Carnivora; Otariidae.